This 911-nucleotide ribosomal RNA is filed under the name Staphylococcus aureus. RNAcentral describes it as "partial 16S ribosomal RNA". It matches the Rfam family "Bacterial small subunit ribosomal RNA", at positions 530 to 1462 of the family's 1533-position model. RNAcentral also lists the same sequence under 1 other name. Lineage: Bacteria; Bacillati; Bacillota; Bacilli; Caryophanales; Staphylococcaceae. The record is from RNAcentral.
GGGGGUAAGCUUUCCGAAAUUUUGGGGAAAACGGGUUGGCGGGUUUUUAUUUCUUGUGGGAAGGCCCGCGGGUCAACCCGGGGGGGUCAUUGAAAUGGGAAACUAAAGUCUAAAAAGGAAAAGGGAAUUCCAUUUUACGGUGAAUGCGCAGAGAUUUGGGGAACACCAGUGGGGAGGGGGUUUUUUUGUUCUUUAAUAACGUAAUGUCAAAAGUGUGGGUUCAAACAGGAUUAGAUACCCCGGUAUUCCACCCCGUAAACAAUGAGGAAAAGUGUUGGGGGGUUUCCGCCCCUUAGUGCGCAAAUAACCCAUUAAGCMCUCCCCCGGGGGAGUACGCCCCCAAGGUUGAAAUUCAAAGGAAUUAACGGGGGCCCCCCCAAGGGGGGGAGCAUGGGGUUUAAUUCGAAGAAACGCGAAGACCCUUCCCAAAUUUUGACAUCCUUUGAAAACUUUAGAAAAAAACCUUUCCCUUUCGGGGGAAAAAGUGCAGGGGGGGCAUGGUUUUUUUCAGCUCGUUUCGGGAAAUUUUGGGUUAAUUCCCGCAACGAGCCCAACCCUUAAGUUUAGUUCCCAUCAUUAAGUUGGCCAUUUUAAGUUGACUCCCGGGGACAAACCGGAGGAAGGUGGGGAUGACGUCAAAUCAUCAUGCCCCUUAUGAUUUGGGUUACCCACGUGUUACAAUGGACAAUACAAAGGGCAGUAAAACCGGGAGGUCAAGCAAAUCCCAUAAAGUUUUUUUCAUUUCGGAUUGUAGUUUGCAAUUGGACUACAUGAAGCGGGAAUCGUUAGUAAUGGUAGAUCAGCAUGUUCCGGUGAAUACGUUCCCGGGUCUUUACACCCCCCCCGUCCCCCCCCGAGAUUUUGAACCCCCGAAGCGGGGGAGUAACCUUUUUGGAGCUAGCCGUUGAAAU